Molecule: unclassified non-coding RNA, 312 nt
Filed under: Hevea brasiliensis (rubber tree)
Lineage: Eukaryota; Viridiplantae; Streptophyta; Magnoliopsida; Malpighiales; Euphorbiaceae
Source: RNAcentral
GUUGAGAUCAAAAUUAUUGAAGGGUGGAUUAAUGAGUACUAUGAUGAUCUAAGAAAUCAGCACCCUAAUAUAGCCCGUCGAGCUUUGGCCUCAUCAGCAACUGUUCACUCUCAUCAUAUUUCGCCUCCAGAUGAGCAUGAUUAAAUCUUUAGAGUAAUCUACUGUUAGGAAGAGAGUUAAGUGAGUAAGUCUACUGUGCAGUUGCUGAGUUGGCAAUAAGUGGCGGGAACAAUAAUAAUUGGUUAGCUGUAUUAGUCAAUCAAUGUAAGUCUUGUAUUGAGAAAGUAGAGUCAUGCAUUGAGAGUAUAAAUG